This is a small nucleolar RNA of Hydractinia symbiolongicarpus, 74 nucleotides long. RefSeq annotates it as small nucleolar RNA SNORD103/SNORD85. NCBI's taxonomy places the organism in Eukaryota, Metazoa, Cnidaria, Hydrozoa, Anthoathecata, Hydractiniidae. The transcript has a single exon. The record is from RefSeq and is a predicted model, not a curated record.
UUUGACAUGGAUGAUCAACUUGCCCUCAAUGACACAUUAGUUUGUGUUAUGAUUAUAUCUUGUUCUGAGUCAAA